This 253-nucleotide ribosomal RNA is filed under the name uncultured bacterium. RNAcentral describes it as "partial 16S ribosomal RNA". It matches the Rfam family "Bacterial small subunit ribosomal RNA", at positions 524 to 776 of the family's 1533-position model. The record is from RNAcentral.
UACGAAGGUCCCAAGCGUUAUUCGGAAUCACUGGGCGUAAAGGGAGCGUAGGCGGUGUGGAAAGUCAGAUGUGAAAGCCCAAGGCUCAACCUUGGAACUGCAUCCGAUACUCCCACACUAGAGGAUUGGAGAGGAGAUUGGAAUUUUCGGUGUAGCAGUGAAAUGCGUAGAUAUCGAAAGGAAGACCAAUGGCGAAGGCAGAUCUCUGGACAAUUCCUGACGCUGAGGCUCGAAGGCUAGGGGAGCGAAAGGG